RNAcentral lists this unclassified non-coding RNA (357 nucleotides) under soil metagenome. Its description in RNAcentral is "partial contains 5.8S ribosomal RNA, internal transcribed spacer 2, and large subunit ribosomal RNA". The stretch from base 1 to 120 matches the Rfam family "5.8S ribosomal RNA", at positions 35 to 154 of the family's 154-position model. The record is from RNAcentral.
GAUGAAGAACGUAGCGAAAUGCGAUAAGUAAUGUGAAUUGCAGAAUUCAGUGAAUCAUCGAAUCUUUGAACGCACAUUGCGCCCGCUGGUAUUCCGGCGGGCAUGCCUGUUCGAGCGUCAUUUCAACCCUCAAGCUCUCCGGAGUUUGGUGUUGGGGCGCCUGGGGCUUUUCGACCUCAGGGCCCUUAAGUCCAUCGGCGGGACCGCCAGGACACUGAGCGCAGUAGUAUUAUUUCGCUCGGUAGGAUCUUCCACGGCGGGUCGAUCUGGCCGCUAAACCCCCCAAUUCUCACCAAAGGUUGACCUCGGAUCAGGUAGGAAUACCCGCUGAACUUAAGCAUAUCAAUAAGCGGAGGA